Molecule: transfer RNA, 85 nt
Filed under: Crocuta crocuta (spotted hyena)
Lineage: Eukaryota; Metazoa; Chordata; Mammalia; Carnivora; Hyaenidae
Also listed under: 3 other names
Rfam family: tRNA
About the family: Transfer RNA (tRNA) molecules are approximately 80 nucleotides in length. Their secondary structure includes four short double-helical elements and three loops (D, anti-codon, and T loops).
Source: Rfam by way of RNAcentral
GCCUGGGUGGCUCAGUCGGUUAAGCGUCCGACUUCGGCUCAGGUCAUGAUCUCACAGUUUGUGGGUUCGAGCCCCACGUCGGGCU